GGGCGUAAAGCGCGCGUAGGUGGUUCAGCAAGUUGGAUGUGAAAUCCCCGGGCUCAACCUGGGAACUGCAUCCAAAACUACUGAGCUAGAGUACGGUAGAGGGUGGUGGAAUUUCCUGUGUAGCGGUGAAAUGCGUAGAUAUAGGAAGGAACACCAGUGGCGAAGGCGACCACCUGGACUGAUACUGACACUGAGGUGCG
RNAcentral lists this ribosomal RNA (200 nucleotides) under Pseudomonas aeruginosa. RNAcentral's name for it is "partial 16S ribosomal RNA". It matches the Rfam family "Bacterial small subunit ribosomal RNA", at positions 556 to 755 of the family's 1533-position model. Lineage: Bacteria; Pseudomonadati; Pseudomonadota; Gammaproteobacteria; Pseudomonadales; Pseudomonadaceae. The record is from RNAcentral.